UUAUUGUUGUACCGGGAAAUGAGCUUGACAAAGUGGUCAUUAAAGGCAAUGCCAGCCCCAGCAUCAAAGAUGGAAGAAUGGGUGUCACUGGUAAAGUUGCAAGAAAUAACCUGGUCCUCAGUGUAGCCCAGGAUUCCCUUGGUCCAGCAUCAAAGGUGGAAAAAUUCGCGUCACUGUUAAAGUUGCAGGAAGCAACCUUAUCCUCAGUGUAGCCCAGGAUACCCUUGAGGGGGCCCUCUGAUGCCUGCUUCACCACCUUCUUGAUGUCAUUAUGUUUG
Molecule: long non-coding RNA, 278 nt
Filed under: Lynx pardinus (Iberian lynx)
Lineage: Eukaryota; Metazoa; Chordata; Mammalia; Carnivora; Felidae
Source: RNAcentral